Molecule: long non-coding RNA, 2274 nt
Filed under: Triticum aestivum (bread wheat)
Lineage: Eukaryota; Viridiplantae; Streptophyta; Magnoliopsida; Poales; Poaceae
Description: long non-coding RNA (TAES_LNC003468)
Source: RNAcentral
UUUUAAAUAUCAAAUGCCAAGUAUAUUGAUCUAGGGGAUAAGCUGAAACUAUGCUUCCUAGCACAGAGAGAAUACACGAUCAGCAAUGGCAAAAGCUUAGUUCACACAUUGCCUGAUGCGACCAAAAUAAACAAUAAACAACUCAGCCUACAAAUACACGCAUAUUGUCUUUGCCCAUAGCAGCAAGUUUUCAAUGUAUUACAUGCACCUCACUGCCAACAGCAACCAAUGAAAAUUGCAAGCAAUUUUUUGUUCUAGUUUAAUUAGGAGUCGUCCAUAAACAUUUGUUACUAUCCUACCAUCCUUGAACUAAGUGGCUGCCGGUGCUGUAUGUACGCGCUCAUCAAUAGAAUCAGAGAUGGCGCCGGCGAUUAUCUCAUCAUGGAGUCCAUUGAUCAGCGAUGUCCCCUAUGACAACAUCAAAGUACUGAGUGGUACGAAAAAAAGAACAAAAUGAAUAAAAUCCAGUAUAAUAAAGAUGGUACAAUAGUUUUUCAGACUCAGUGAUAUGGAGAUGUUACUCAAAUUUUCAGAUACACUCUGUACAAGGUCAGUGUAGCUCGGAUUUUUUUCAAUCCAUCUCCAAAUAAAACAAAACUGCAUCCCACGGGGUUGGUCAAUAUUCUGGUGCAGACUUCACUAUCCUGAAUGAUAUCUGAAGUGCGAAUAAUAAGUUCGUUUAUUAAGAUGGAUAGUUUAAAACCAAAAAAAUCACAAACCACUUUAUUGUAUAAUUUAUCCAUUAAAUUAAGAUCAGUGCCAAAUACAUAAUUAAACCAAAAAUUAAUUUAACUACAACCAUGCAUAGUAAUCAGAGCAGAUGUUCCCACCCAACCUAUCACCCCUGUACAUACUACAGACUUCGUCCAAAAUUCACACUGCCGAAUCACAACCAUCCAAUACUCUUAGUCUUAUACAUACUGCAUGUAUUAUAUCUUGAUUUUGUGAGAGAUUGCUAACCAGAUAACGAUGAGAAAAUCAAGUAAUCUCAAAUUAUACAUAUAACUUACUAAAAGUGUCCACUCCCUAGCCCGUUCAGCAUUUUCAACAGAAAGUAAUGGAACCACCAACAUAAAAAGGGUAAGAUUGUGAUCAGAAGACUGUAGCUUACCAAGAUUAUUCUUUUUUUCCUGUCUACAGUGGGGUCCUGAACUUCUGAUCAUCACGGCUGCAGUACAGACAACAGAGAAGCUUACACUUGAUUAGAUUUAGAACUGAUUACCAUUAGCCCGACUGCGUUGUAGGUACCAUGUUACCUUGAAGGUACUAUGAAUAAAAUAAAUGUCUUACUCUGAAGUCUCGAUGAACAUAAUAAAGAUAUAUGUAGGGAAUAUAGAGUAACCCAAAAGGAGAACUGAUCCAAUUGAAAGGGGUCGUGUGAGGAAUGAAACAACUCCAUUAACACGUCAGACCAGGAUAAAACAAUCUAACAACAGUCAAAUAAAUAGACGAGCUGGUAUACUUGAAUUCCACUGCAGAAACAGGGGUGAUUACUUUUCAUUCUUAUUCCCCAAUAGGUAUUUUUUUAAGGUGGAUCAAAUGCACUCCAUUGUAUUAAUCAUUAGUCACUGCUGUGUCAGGUUAGUUUUAGCGUUUCAGGCAAAAGAUGAGCUCCAAAGAGUUUAUUAAAUCUGUCUAGCACCCUAGCUAGCAUAGGAUUACACCACCCAUAAUUCUUCGCAUGGUUUGUGGCACAGGAUGGCGCUGUCGCACUCCUGCAAUUGACGUGUGGUUAAAGUAUGACCAGCAGCUCAUUCACUUAAGAAGACAAACAAUAAUUGGUAGACACCUAGAGGAAAUGGAGUGAGAAAUGGCUCAGAUUAAGCAUUUGUAUUUGGUUCUGCAAUAAUAAUAACAUGGUUAGAACAUAAAUUACCUAAUACUCUGUUGUACGGAAUUGUUCUAACUCCAUCGACGAAUUGGAUCUGGGGCAAGUGUCUUAUAAUGCACAAAGUCUGCCACAAGACUGAGCAUCAAUUUUAUGCCAACAAUGUAUGGAUAAAGUAAUCCUUACUUGAUACAACUAUGAAAAAAAGGUAGUUAUACACAGAAGGCUAGAAAAGCUACAUCAAUUUUGUGUGUAAACAGAGAGUCCUGCAAGUGAUGCUCCAAUGGGUAGCCAAUGGAUAAAUCUACACCCAUGGGGGCACCUUGUGUGGCAGACUUGACAACCUGACAACCUGAUGAAAAAGCUAAGGACAUAAUACCUGGGUGUAGGUUUGUACAAUAGUUGAGGUUCAGAUCACUCAACUCUGGGGAUUUCACAUACAAAGC